This 714-nucleotide ribosomal RNA is filed under the name Triticum aestivum (bread wheat). Its description in RNAcentral is "partial small subunit ribosomal RNA". The record is from RNAcentral. Lineage: Eukaryota; Viridiplantae; Streptophyta; Magnoliopsida; Poales; Poaceae.
GACGGUGAAGAAGAAGAGGACGAUGACAACUAUGUGCCCCCUGAAUACGGUGAUGCUGCAACGGGGGAAGCUACUGAAGAUCAAGAGGAACCAGACGAUGUGCCCAAUGCUGCUACAAUGGGGGAAGUUGCUGAAGAUCAUGAGGAACCAGACGAUGUGCCCCAUGAUGAUGAUCUCCGCCGGGUCAUUGUCGAUGCAAGGAUGCAAUGCGAAAGUCAAAAGGAGAAGCUGAAGUUCGAUCGCAUGUUAGAGGAUCACAAAAAAGGGCUAUACCCCAAUUGCGAAGAUGGCAACACAAAGCUCGGUACCGUAUUGGAAUUGCUGCAGUGGAAGGCAGAGAAUGUUGUGCCUGACAAAGGAUUUGAGAAGCUACUGAAAAUAUUGAAGAAGAAGCUUCCAAAGGAUAACGAAUUUCCCGACAGUACAUACGCUGCAAAGAAGGUCGUAUGCCCUCUAGGAUUGGAGGUGCAGAAGAUACAUGCAUGCCCUAAUGACUGCAUCCUCUACCGCGGUGCGUACAAGGAUCUGAACGCAUGCCCGGCAUGCGGUGCAUUGAGGUAUAAGAUCAGACGAGAUGACCCUGGUGAUGUUGACAGCGAGCCCCCCCAGGAAGAGGGUUCCUGCGAAGGUGAUGUGGUAUGCUCCUAUAAUACCACGGUUGAAACGUCUGUUCAGAAACGAACAACAUACCAAGUUGAUGUGAUGGCACAGUGA